GACAGGUGUCUGUAUAUCAGACUUAAUAGAGAAUCCGGUAUAAGCCGGAACGGUCCCGCCACUGUAAGGCAGAGGGCGGCACAUUUAUGUCACUGGGGCAGCACAUUGCGGCGUAAAGGCGUGAUGGCUCUGGGAAGGCGUGCCAACCGAUGAAGCCGAGUCAGGAGAACUGCCUGUUCAA
RNAcentral lists this non-coding RNA (181 nucleotides) under Anaerovibrio slackiae. RNAcentral also lists the same sequence under 1 other name. The record is from RNAcentral. Lineage: Bacteria; Bacillati; Bacillota; Negativicutes; Selenomonadales; Selenomonadaceae.